This 575-nucleotide long non-coding RNA is filed under the name Homo sapiens (human). Its description in RNAcentral is "non-protein coding lnc-TFEC-14:1". Lineage: Eukaryota; Metazoa; Chordata; Mammalia; Primates; Hominidae. The record is from RNAcentral.
GUAUAAGUCAUGAAGUAUGAAGUGGCAAAAAGGGAGAGUCAUAGGCAAUAUCCCAACAAUGAUCAGUUACCAGCCAGUGAAUUUCCUGGAAGCUAUCUCCACAAUCACUCGGACAAUUGUUCUGGCAAUAUGAUAAAUGGAAAACCAUUGUCCCUGGGCUUAUGUACUACCACUGGACAAGAAGACAUGACAGGUAACACUAGAUGAUUUCUCAUCCUGCCCACACACAAAAAAAAUGUUUAAGUUGCUUUUCUAAUGAAUCUCCUAUGAUUCAGAAAUAUGCAAAGCAAUAUUGUACAAAGACAUAUUGUGAAGUAAGGCAUCAUUGUUCCAACAGUUCCUUUAUUCUAAUGGCACAUGAAUUUGAUGUUUGAGAUGAUAAGGAUAGAAGGAGGGAGGGAGGGUGAGAAAAGCUGACCCUAAUCAAGUGUAUUCAGAGUGUGGUUACGGAAAAGGGAAUUAAUGUAAUGCCAGGCUCUCAAACAGGAAAACCUCAGGAGUAUGCUUGAAGAAAGUAGUAUAUCAGAUUUUGGCCCACCACUUGUGAAGAUAAGGAAAAAAUACAUCUGUUUUUU